AUCGCUUCUCGGCCUUAAUGGCUAAGAUCAAAGUGUAGUAUCUGUUCUUAUCAGCUUAAUAUCUGAUACGACCCGCACUGCGGGUCCAGUAUAUUGAACUUAUUUUUGGAAAUAGGCGGAAUGUUAGGGGCUUGCUCCACUUCUGCCAGGGGUUUGGCCCGGUAUUGCAGUACCGCCGGGAUCGGCCCAAUAAUA
This 195-nucleotide small nuclear RNA is filed under the name Trialeurodes vaporariorum (greenhouse whitefly). Its description in RNAcentral is "U2 spliceosomal RNA". It matches the Rfam family "U2 spliceosomal RNA". From Rfam's summary of the family: U2 is a small nuclear RNA (snRNA) component of the spliceosome (involved in pre-mRNA splicing). Complementary binding between U2 snRNA (in an area lying towards the 5' end but 3' to hairpin I) and the branchpoint sequence (BPS) of the intron results the bulging out of an unpaired adenosine, on the BPS, which initiates a nucleophilic attack at the intronic 5' splice site, thus starting the first of two transesterification reactions that mediate splicing. Lineage: Eukaryota; Metazoa; Arthropoda; Insecta; Hemiptera; Aleyrodidae. The record is from RNAcentral.